This 63-nucleotide transfer RNA is filed under the name Sphaeroma terebrans. RNAcentral describes it as "tRNA-Pro". Lineage: Eukaryota; Metazoa; Arthropoda; Malacostraca; Isopoda; Sphaeromatidae. The record is from RNAcentral.
CAGAAGAUAAUUUAAAUAAAAUACUAAUUUUGGAUAUUAGCAUUGAGAAAUUCUCUCCUCUGA